AUUGAACGCUGGCGGCAUGCCUAACACAUGCAAGUCGAACGGUAACGCGAGGAGCUUGCUCCUUGGCGACGAGUGGCGGACGGGUGAGUAAUGCUUGGGAAUCUACCCAGUAGUGGGGGACAACAUUCGGAAACGGAUGCUAAUACCGCAUACGCACUACGGUGGAAAGCGGGGGAUCUUCGGACCUCGCGCUAUUGGAUGAGCCCAAGUCGGAUUAGCUUGUUGGUAGGGUAAUGGCCUACCAAGGCGACGAUCCGUAGCUGGUCUGAGAGGACGAUCAGCCACACUGGGACUGAGACACGGCCCAGACUCCUACGGGAGGCAGCAGUGGGGAAUAUUGGACAAUGGGCGCAAGCCGUUUUUUUUUUANCCAGCAAUGCCGCGUGUGUGAAGAAGGCCUGCGGGUUGUAAAGCACUUUUAUCAGGAAAGAAAAUCUCGGGGUUAAUAGCCCCGGGCCUUGACGGUACCUGAAGAAUAAGCACCGGCUAACUCCGUG
RNAcentral lists this ribosomal RNA (497 nucleotides) under uncultured bacterium. Its description in RNAcentral is "bacterial SSU rRNA". It matches the Rfam family "Bacterial small subunit ribosomal RNA", at positions 30 to 507 of the family's 1533-position model. The record is from RNAcentral.